This 210-nucleotide ribosomal RNA is filed under the name Triticum aestivum (bread wheat). RNAcentral's name for it is "partial small subunit ribosomal RNA". The record is from RNAcentral. Lineage: Eukaryota; Viridiplantae; Streptophyta; Magnoliopsida; Poales; Poaceae.
AUGUUAUGUGAUGGUUUAAACCUCAUCCUCCGCGACGAGGACAAGAACACGGACAACCUCAACCAGCGCAUGAUGGGCAAGUUUCGCCGUCUAAGUAACGAUCUAGCGCUCAAGGAGAUCUACCUCACCGGCCGACACUACACAUGGUCAAACGAGCAGUCACCGCCGGCGUUGAUGCAUCUCGACCGCGUGCUAUGCACCUCAGACUGA